Molecule: ribosomal RNA, 460 nt
Filed under: uncultured bacterium
Lineage: Bacteria
Description: partial 16S ribosomal RNA
Rfam family: Bacterial small subunit ribosomal RNA
Source: RNAcentral
CCUACGGGAGGCAGCAGUGAGGAAUAUUGGUCAAUGGACGCAAGUCUGAACCAGCCAUGCCGCGUGCAGGAAGACGGCCCUAUGAGUUGUAAACUGCUUUUGUACGAGGGUAAACGCAGAUACGCGUACCGGUCUGCAAGUACCGUACGAAUAAGGAUCGGCUAACUCCGUGCCAGCAGCCGCGGUAAUACGGAGGAUUCGAGCGUUAUCCGGAUUUAUUGGGUUUAAAGGGUGCGUAGGCGGUCGGAUAAGUCAGAGGUGAAAGCCCGAGGCUCAACCUCGGAAUUGCCGUUGAUACUGGCAGCCUAGAGAGUAGUAGAGGUAGGCGGAAUGUGUGGUGUAGCGGUGAAAUGCUUAGAGAUCAUGCAGAACGCCGAUUGCGAAGGCAGCUUGCCGGACUGCUACUGACGUUGAGGCACGAAAGCGUGGGGAGCAAACAGGAUUAGAUACCCGUGUAGUC